RNAcentral lists this ribosomal RNA (429 nucleotides) under Chloroflexota bacterium. RNAcentral describes it as "Chloroflexi bacterium partial 16S ribosomal RNA". It matches the Rfam family "Bacterial small subunit ribosomal RNA", at positions 355 to 776 of the family's 1533-position model. Lineage: Bacteria; Bacillati; Chloroflexota. The record is from RNAcentral.
UGGGGAAUAUUGCACAAUGGGCGCAAGCCUGAUGCAGCCAUGCCGCGUGUAUGAAGAAGGCCUUCGGGUUGUAAAGUACUUUCAGUCGGGAGGAAGGUGGUAAGGUUAAUAACCUUGGCAAUUGACGUUACCGACAGAAGAAGCACCGGCUAACUCCGUGCCAGCAGCCGCGGUAAUACGGAGGGUGCAAGCGUUAAUCGGAAUUACUGGGCGUAAAGCGCACGCAGGCGGUCUGUCAAGUCAGAUGUGAAAUCCCCGGGCUCAACCUGGGAACUGCAUCUGAUACUGGCAAGCUUGAGUCUCGUAGAGGGGGGUAGAAUUCCAGGUGUAGCGGUGAAAUGCGUAGAGAUCUGGAGGAAUACCGGUGGCGAAGGCGGCCCCCUGGACGAAGACUGACGCUCAGGUGCGAAAGCGUGGGGAGCAAACAGG